Molecule: ribosomal RNA, 467 nt
Filed under: uncultured Desulfovibrio sp.
Lineage: Bacteria; Pseudomonadati; Thermodesulfobacteriota; Desulfovibrionia; Desulfovibrionales; Desulfovibrionaceae
Description: bacterial SSU rRNA
Rfam family: Bacterial small subunit ribosomal RNA
Source: RNAcentral
CCCGGCACAAGCGGUGGAGUAUGUGGUUUAAUUCGACGCAACGCGCAGAACCUUACCUAGGCUUGACAUCCGGGAAUUUGCUGGAAACAGUAAAGUGCUUUCAUUAGAAAGAGCCCGGUGACAGGUGCUGCAUGGCUGUCGUCAGCUCGUGUCGUGAGAUGUUGGGUUAAGUCCCGCAACGAGCGCAACCCUCGCCUUUAGUUGCCAGCAUUCAGUUGGGCACUCUAAAGGGACUGCCGGUGUCAAACCGGAGGAAGGUGGGGAUGACGUCAAGUCCUCAUGGCCUUUAUGUCUAGGGCUACACACGUACUACAAUGGCAGGUACAAAGGGCAGCGACACAGCGAUGUGAUGCGAAUCCCGAAAAGCCUGUCUCAGUCCGGAUUGGAGUCUGCAACUCGACUCCAUGAAGUUGGAAUCGCUAGUAAUCGCAGAUCAGCACGCUGCGGUGAAUACGUUCCCGGGCCUU